ACGGAGGGUGCGAGCGUUAAUCGGAAUUACUGGGCGUAAAGGGCACGCAGGCGGCCUGUUAAGUCAGAUGUGAAAUCCCCGGGCUUAACCCGGGAACUGCAUUUGAAACUGUCAGGCUUGAGUCUUGUAGAGGGGGGUAGAAUUCCAGGUGUAGCGGUGAAAUGCGUAGAGAUCUGGAGGAAUACCGGUGGCGAAGGCGGCCCCCUGGACAAAGACUGACGCUGAGGUGCGAAAGCGUGGGGAGCAAACAGG
This 252-nucleotide ribosomal RNA is filed under the name uncultured bacterium. RNAcentral's name for it is "partial 16S ribosomal RNA". It matches the Rfam family "Bacterial small subunit ribosomal RNA", at positions 525 to 776 of the family's 1533-position model. The record is from RNAcentral.